GAUGAACGCUGGCGGCGUGCUUAACACAUGCAAGUCGAACGGACAGGCUCCUGCUUGCAGGGGUACUCGAGUGGCGAACGGGGGAGUAACACGCGUGGGAUCUGCCCUUCACUUCGGGAUAAGCCUUGGAAACUGGGUCUAAUACCGGAUAGGACGAUGGGUUGCAUGCGAUUGUGUAGAGAUUGUCGGUGUGGGAUGAGCUCGAGGCCUAUCAGCUUGUUGGUGGGGUAAUGGCAUACCAAGGCGUCGACGGGUAGCCGGCCUGGGAGGGUGUACGGCCACAUUGGGACUGAGAUACGGCCCAGACGCCAACGGGCGGCAGCAGUGGGGAAUAUUGCACAAUGGGGGCAAGCCUGAGGCAGCGGCGCCGCGUGGGGGAUGACGGCCUUCGGGUUGUAAACAACUUUCGCUAGGAACGAAGCGCAAGUGACGGUACCUGGAGAGGAAGCAACGGCUAACUACGUG
Molecule: ribosomal RNA, 465 nt
Filed under: uncultured bacterium
Lineage: Bacteria
Description: partial 16S ribosomal RNA
Rfam family: Bacterial small subunit ribosomal RNA
Source: RNAcentral